GCCGCGGCGGGGCGGAGGGCUACUGGACGGAGGUUACGGCGGAGCGGUGGGCGUAAUGAAGGAGAAAAGGGAGGAAAAAGGAUCAGAUUUUUAAUCUGUUUUGUUUGAUUUCAGAUUGGAACUCCGUGGUGUUGUGAAACAAAACUGGCCCCACUUUGGCAGGAGAAACGCGUAACUAUCAUUUUGUUGCUGAUCAGGUGAGUUCCCAUAUAUACUACGAAAUAUCACUGAGUAAUAUCAUGGAACUCCCCCACCAAGUGAUGUUGUCGUUGAGGGUUCUCCUUCACCCAAACCAACUCUUCCCACAUCAAGGCCUAGUGGAAGUAAAGGUAUUAGCAGAAUCAGUGUAGUGUUAGGGCUCAGUGUCACUGUGGCCCCGCCCAUAUGGUAUAAAGAUAUCAUAAACUUAAAAUUCACACUAUUUUGGAGUCUUAAUGUCGCAGAAUGUUUAUAAUUAAUGAAUUUCAAAUGGUUGUCCCAUAUUUUUCUAUUGUUUGUGUAAUUUUUAGGAUCUCACAAUCCACGAUCCUAUCAUUUUGGCACCUUCAUUCGUUCCUAAUUAGGAUGCCAAUCCUAACAACCUUUCUAUUUCCAGUGAAAAAUCUUUAGUAAAAAGCCAGGAGGUGCCGGACAAUGUGUUUUUUCUUUUCUUGGUUAGCUUGCUGGACAAUGUUAAGAAGAGAAAAUUGGUCUACUCCAAAGACAGAAAAAAACAGAGAAAAUGUUUUAUGUCAGAGUUCAGGAAUUCAGACAGCGUUUCUAUGUUUGAACAUCAUUUGCUUGUUUUAAUGUCAACAGGUAUCUAAUUUUGCAAAACUAUGUUAAAACUUUACAAAUUGGCCUCAGUUUGUUAAAUUUGUAGGAUCUUAUGUUCAUCUAUCCAUUCCUCGAAGACCUCACAAUCAUCCUGCCUAGGACCCCGAUCUGCGAAUGCUGUUUUGAAAUGCUGCAAUUAUCAGAAUAACUGAAAUGAAGUUAAUGUUAAGAUUAUGCUUUAGAGAAUAUAGAAAUAUUUAUUAUGAGGUGUGCUAUCGGUGCACUUGUAUCCAAAUUUUGGAAACUCGCCUUGAGAACUGUUGUUUGUGAUUUGGAAACUUUGAAAAGUCAGAUACUAUGACAAGUGCCCAUGUUUGGCACCCAUAUUGGAGUGGUUGUUCUUUGUAAUAAAAAUGUGGUGUUUGAAUGAUAGUUAUUGGGAAAUUUUGCAAGCGGUCUGGUUUAGAGGGUUAAUAAUGAUAAGAUAAUUCUUAUGGAUUUGAUGAGAUGAGGUAGGGUAUUUAAGAUACCUUAGAUUCCUUGUCCUAUGAUAAAAUUUCUGAAAUGCAGUUGACUAAAUAUAGUCCCUGAAUGAUGGCCAUUCAUCAAGGACUGGGAAUCCACUGACCUGGAUAGAUCUUCAUCUGUCAUCUCGCUCAUAUUUGCUUGAGAUAGAAGAAUAGGAGGAAGAAAACCUAGGCACCCCAUAUGCAAAGCAACAAGCUCUUCUAUGUCAGGAGUGCGAAAAGAACCCAUCAAACUACCACUGCCUUGCAUGUUCUUUCUGCUCAGGAAGUGAAGAGGGUCACUGAAUCUACCCACAGAGCAAGAGCUAAAUUAAGUGUGUCUUUAUCUUAAGUUGCCUUUUCACCUCCAAACCUUUGGCGUGCAGAGGAGAAUAAACCUCUUGUUCCUUCCAAGUGGACUGUCAAAAGGGGGCAGAAAUCAGUCUCGAUAUGAGGAAAGGUGCAACAUCAGAAUCUUGACUUUAGAGUGGAUUACAUAUUCGAUCCUGUCAAUUUUGUAAAGAUAAGAUACUUUAGGUAUAGCAAAGUCUUGCGAUGGGGUCUAUGUAUGCUUCUUAUUCUUCUU
Molecule: long non-coding RNA, 1848 nt
Organism: Eucalyptus grandis
Lineage: Eukaryota; Viridiplantae; Streptophyta; Magnoliopsida; Myrtales; Myrtaceae
Exons: 4
Source: RefSeq, a predicted model, not a curated record